GCGGGUGUAACUCAAUUGGUAGAGUGUCAGCCUUCCAAGCUGAAUGUUGCCGGUUCGACCCCGGUCACCCGCU
Molecule: transfer RNA, 73 nt
Filed under: Planctomycetota bacterium
Lineage: Bacteria; Pseudomonadati; Planctomycetota
Also listed under: 1 other name
Description: tRNA-Gly
Rfam family: tRNA
About the family: Transfer RNA (tRNA) molecules are approximately 80 nucleotides in length. Their secondary structure includes four short double-helical elements and three loops (D, anti-codon, and T loops).
Source: RNAcentral